GCGUGCAUGGCGUAGGAUAUAAUUUUUCCCUGGCGCCCCAUGGCUGCAAUCCAAAAUAUGCACAGAAAAAUGCUUUUAUACGACAAGGCAGCCUAAUUAUCUAACCAACUAAGAGUAUCAGAAGCCUUUAAUAUGUGCCACCCGAGCAAGAAAACAAACAGAUGAGAAUCACUCCUCUAUAAUCCAAAACAACAUGCCAGGUAAAAAUUAAUCCUCAACAGCGGCUCCAACGCAGGUGCAUCCAAUUCGAAAGGACAAAACCGUCUGGCCUUUAUUAGAAAAGAAAAGUUUACAUAAUUUUUUUUUUACUAAGAUGAAUAAUUCAUACAACACGUGUAUGAAUACACUCAAUAGAAAACAGAAUAUCACAGAGCUUCCGAAGCAGCUUCCAUCUCCUGCCCAAACAUGAAUUAUUUAUGUAAUUAGUUUGAGACUGCAACGAUGUUGAUGAAUACUCAUUCAAGUCCUGAGAAUAAGCUAUUG
This 483-nucleotide long non-coding RNA is filed under the name Phoenix dactylifera (date palm). Its description in RNAcentral is "long non-coding RNA (PDAC_LNC016197)". The record is from RNAcentral. Lineage: Eukaryota; Viridiplantae; Streptophyta; Magnoliopsida; Arecales; Arecaceae.